This 305-nucleotide long non-coding RNA is filed under the name Monodelphis domestica (gray short-tailed opossum). RNAcentral's name for it is "lncRNA (ENSMODG00000033799.2)". The record is from RNAcentral. Lineage: Eukaryota; Metazoa; Chordata; Mammalia; Didelphimorphia; Didelphidae.
UGGGGUUUUAAGGAUUCUUAAAAAUUAUUCUGGUUAUGUUUUUCAAAUUAACACUAUAUCUUUUCAGGUUGUAAAGCCCCAACAGGAGGCAAUAAGGGAGCAAGCAGAAAGAAGAAACUAUGGAAAAAGCUGUGUGUGCUAUAGACUAUAUAAGACAUGACAUCUCAAGACUGAUGAUACGGAUCUCUAACUUCUAUGGAUUAUAUUACAAGACAAUGAAAAGAAUACUGGCCCUCAGGUCAGUUUCAAAUUCCACCUCUAUGAUUUAAGGAAAAUGAUAUAAUCUACCUGGGAUGUACUUGCCU